This is a long non-coding RNA of Danio aesculapii, 482 nucleotides long. RefSeq lists it as uncharacterized. The record is from RefSeq and is a predicted model, not a curated record. The transcript is spliced from 3 exons. NCBI's taxonomy places the organism in Eukaryota, Metazoa, Chordata, Actinopteri, Cypriniformes, Danionidae.
ACACACGUGUGUAUCUUCACUGCUGCAGAGGAGAGAGAGAGAGAGCAAUGACUGAACACAAACACUACAACAACAUCUCUACAAACUAAACCAACAAAACAAAGUCACUUACAGGAUCAGUGAAGUGUUGUGGACUGUAAACCUGUUGAACAGAAGCAGAGACGUGUUGACAGACACUGACUGUACUGAUGAGGAUCAUCUGCUGCUGCACAGGCUGUAAAGUAUAACCCCUGCUGGACACGGCUCCGGAAGCUCCAGGGGGAGACCGUACUGGUAUCCCCCCUUCUUCAGGCGCGCCUCACACUCAUUCACCAUUCCCACAUAUCGCAGAGUUCUGGCUGGCAUUGAACCAGCAACCCCUGAAGCCAUGGGGCAGCGCUCUUACCACAGAGCCACAGAUCUCCUGACUGAACACCUGCUGGUACUGGUGUUUGACUGCAGACCUGUGUGUGAGCUGUUUCAAUAAAACAAGAUACAAGUCA